UACGUAGGAUCCAAGCGUUGUCCGGAUUUACUGGGUGUAAAGGGUGCGCAGGCGGACUUAUAAGUCAGGGGUGAAAUCUCGCUGCUCAACAGCGAAACUGCCUUUGAUACUGUAGGUCUUUGAAUUAGGGAGAGAUUCGUGGAAUUCCGAGUGUAGCAGUGAAAUGUGUAGAUAUUCGGAAGAACACCAGAGGCGAAGGCAGCGAAUUGGCCCUAUAUUGACGCUCAGGCACGAAAGCAUGGGGAUCAAACAGG
RNAcentral lists this ribosomal RNA (254 nucleotides) under uncultured bacterium. RNAcentral's name for it is "partial 16S ribosomal RNA". It matches the Rfam family "Bacterial small subunit ribosomal RNA", at positions 524 to 776 of the family's 1533-position model. The record is from RNAcentral.